Non-coding RNA from Tinamus guttatus (white-throated tinamou), 595 nucleotides. The record is from the annotation of a RefSeq genome assembly. NCBI's taxonomy places the organism in Eukaryota, Metazoa, Chordata, Aves, Tinamiformes, Tinamidae.
UUUCCUCCAAAACCAAAUCCAGACAAGGGAUAUACCAAACCGAAAAACUAUGAAGUCCUGAGUAGCGAGAAUGAAAAUAAGCUGACAUACAUUUGCCUUGUUGAGAAAUUCUACCCAGAAGUUAUUCGAGUGACGUGGACUGAGGGAGAUAAGGAAGUAACAGACAAUGUGGAAAAAGGAGAAAUCUGGAAAUCUGCAGAUGACGGCCAAUACUCUAUUGGAACCUGGUUAACGGUAUCAAAGGAGAAUAAAAACAAGAAAUAUUCUUGCAAAUAUGAGCAUGAAAGUGGAACAGAUUCGUUUUCCGACACUUCCAAAGAAGAUCUUACAACUACUAUGGAGAAUCAGGACUGCAAUGCAGGAAACAGUACCAUUUUUUCUCGAGAAUUGAUGGUUAAACAACACUUUUCUGUGUUUGUUCCAGAUCAAUUAAUACACAGGACGGCGUAUUUAGUGUACAUAGUCCUUCUUCUGAAAAGCUUCAUGUAUUACGUGAUCGUACUCUUCUUCAUAUACAGAAUGAGGACUCCAGCUAAGCAACAUGGAAAGGGAACGUAAGAGAAUGAUUUUGCAAGUCUUUGCUAAAACAGCAUUU